Long non-coding RNA from Solanum dulcamara, 599 nucleotides. RefSeq lists it as uncharacterized. NCBI's taxonomy places the organism in Eukaryota, Viridiplantae, Streptophyta, Magnoliopsida, Solanales, Solanaceae. The transcript has 2 exons. The record is from RefSeq and is a predicted model, not a curated record.
CUUAUAAAUUCUGCGCAUCCUCAAUGAGAAGCUAAAUUAGGUACAAACUACAAACCCGGUAAAUCUUGCUGCGGCAUUGAGGGAGGGAGAGAUGACAAGGGGAAAACAAAAGAUCGAGGCUCAGAGGAAAAAUGCCGAGAAGAAUCAGAAAGGAAAAGGGUCUCAGCUUGAAGCUCGUGCCGUUGGCCUCAAAGUCAUCUGUCCCAUUUGUAAAGCGCAGCUAGCAAAUCAAAACCAACUUGUGGAUCACUAUGGGUCUAAGCAUCCAAAGGAAAAGGCUCCAAGUAACUCAGAAUAACAUUUCCUGUUUCUUGGGAAGCUUCUUGCUUUUGUUCUCAAACCUUUGAAUCAAUCAGUAAAAACUCUGUUAAAAAAGGCAAGAGUCCAAGCUGGUGAUGGCUGCUUUGUGAAAUAGAUUGAACAUUCUCUGUGAAUAGUGUAAGCAACAAAACAAUAAAAAUCUAAAAGAGGAUGGAUGGUUUGGUUAUGCUUACUAGCUGCAAAAGUUAACGGGUCAUUUGCACUUUUGUCCAUAUUUUGUGUGUCCUUUGUAAGAAAUAGUUUCUUCGUGAGUAUAACUUUCUAUUUCUGUAUCAUAA